GAUGAACGCUGGCGGCAUGCCUAAUACAUGCAAGUCGAGCGAAAACACGAUGAGCUUUCUCCUCUGCCGGUAGCGGCGGACGGGUGAGUAACACGUGGAUCACCUACCUAUAAGACUUGGGUAACUUCGGGAAACCGCAGCCAAUACUGGAUCAUAUAUUCAACCGCUUGGUUCAGUAGUGCAUGACGGUUUUGCUGUCUCUUAUAGAUGAAGCCGCGCCGCAUUAGCUAGUUGGUAAGGUAACGGCUUACCAAGGCAACGAUGCGUAGCUGACCUGAGAGGAUGAUCAGCCACACUGGAACUGAGACACGGUCCAGACUCCUACGGGAGGCAGCAGUAGGGAAUAUUGGGCAAUGGGCGAAAGCCUGAUCCAGCAAUGCCGCGUGGGUGAUGAAGGUCUUCGGGUUGUAAAGCUCUUUUGUUAGGAAAGAACAACUGCGGAUGUAUCCCUCGCUGUUCUGACGGUACCCAAAGAGAAAGCAACGGCUAACUACGUG
This 497-nucleotide ribosomal RNA is filed under the name uncultured bacterium. RNAcentral's name for it is "partial 16S ribosomal RNA". It matches the Rfam family "Bacterial small subunit ribosomal RNA", at positions 28 to 507 of the family's 1533-position model. The record is from RNAcentral.